CCUACGGGUGGCUGCAGUGGGGAAUAUUGCACAAUGGGCGCAAGCCUGAUGCAGCCAUGCCGCGUGUGUGAAGAAGGCCUUCGGGUUGUAAAGCACUUUCAGCGGGGAGGAAGGCGUUAAGGUUAAUAACCUUGGCGAUUGACGUUACCCGCAGAAGAAGCACCGGCUAACUCCGUGCCAGCAGCCGCGGUAAUACGGAGGGUGCAAGCGUUAAUCGGAAUUACUGGGCGUAAAGCGCACGCAGGCGGUCUGUCAAGUCGGAUGUGAAAUCCCCGGGCUCAACCUGGGAACUGCAUUCGAAACUGGCAGGCUAGAGUCUUGUAGGGGGGGGUAGAAUUCCAGGUGUAGCGGUGAAAUGCGUAGAGAUCUGGAGGAAUACCGGUGGCGAAGGCGGCCCCCUGGACAAAGACUGACGCUCAGGUGCGAAAGCGUGGGGAGCAAACAGGAUUAGAUACCCCGGUAGUC
This 465-nucleotide ribosomal RNA is filed under the name uncultured Klebsiella sp. RNAcentral's name for it is "bacterial SSU rRNA". It matches the Rfam family "Bacterial small subunit ribosomal RNA", at positions 338 to 795 of the family's 1533-position model. Lineage: Bacteria; Pseudomonadati; Pseudomonadota; Gammaproteobacteria; Enterobacterales; Enterobacteriaceae. The record is from RNAcentral.